This 496-nucleotide ribosomal RNA is filed under the name uncultured bacterium. Its description in RNAcentral is "partial 16S ribosomal RNA". It matches the Rfam family "Bacterial small subunit ribosomal RNA", at positions 29 to 507 of the family's 1533-position model. The record is from RNAcentral.
AUGAACGCUGGCGGCGUGCCUAAUACAUGCCAGUCGAGCGAACGGACGAGAAGCUUGCUUCUCUGAUGUUAGCGGCGGACGGGUGAGUAACACGUGGAUAACCUACCUAUAAGACUGGGAUAACUUCGGGAAACCGUAGCUAAUGCCGGAUAAUAUUUUGAACCGCAUGGUUCAAAAGUGAAAGACGGUCUUGCUGUCACUUAUAGAUGGAUCCGCGCUGCAUUAGCUAGUUGGUAAGGUAACGGCUUACCAAGGCAACGAUGCAUAGCCGACCUGAGAGGGUGAUCGGCCACACUGGAACUGAGACACGGUCCAGACUCCUACGGGAGGCAGCAGUAGGGAAUCUUCCGCAAUGGGCGAAAGCCUGACGGAGCAACGCCGCGUGAGUGAUGAAGGUCUUCGGAUCGUAAAACUCUGUUAUUAGGGAAGAACAUAUGUGUAAGUAACUGUGCACAUCUUGACGGUACCUAAUCAGAAAGCCACGGCUAACUACGUG